UUCUUCUCAUUCUUCUUUCAUUUAUUCUUCUCGAUCGUGAAAAAGGAUGAAGUUGUUCCGACCUCCGAUCCAGUUGUUCCUACCUCCGAUCCAGCUGUUUCGAACUCAGAUCCUGCUGUUCCGACCUCCGAUCAUUUCUGGGAGAGAAGACAAAACUCAAGUCAUGCAUUAUAAUUUUGGUCCUGAUCCAAAGGAGAUUAUUAAUGUUAUCUCAUACAUGUGUUGCUUUUGUAUUGUGCUUUGCUCUAUUAUUUGUGUUUGGAAUGCUCAACCUAAAUCUCCAUCAAGUGUGAUUUCCUUGAUUAAAUCUGAUAAAAGAAUGACAAAGGUCAAGAUAUUUUGAUGUCCAUGAAUUCCGAUCCUUCUCAAUGACCUUAUGCGUUCAUUGAUAUCAGAAAGUUCAAGCUUCAUUGAAGAAAAAUUGUACAAAAACAGAAGAACCUUGUGGCAUCUCAGUAGGUGUUGUUGAAGACAAAGCGCUCACGUUGUUUUCCUCUGUGCAGUUCUUCAUUGUCACUCGCUCAACAAUCACUCUCACCCAACCUUUUGUCAAACAACGAGGCGUAAGAAACUAAACAAUUUUUUUUUCUUCAUUUGAUGGGUUAUAACAAAAACCUCUGAAUGACGGUGUACGUGUAAAUUGUGAUCAGCACAAAUGGAAAAUAAUUAUUAGUUAAUAUUCUAUUCUA
Long non-coding RNA from Medicago truncatula (barrel medic), 689 nucleotides. RefSeq lists it as uncharacterized. Lineage: Eukaryota; Viridiplantae; Streptophyta; Magnoliopsida; Fabales; Fabaceae. The record is from RefSeq and is a predicted model, not a curated record. The transcript is spliced from 3 exons.